Molecule: transfer RNA, 67 nt
Filed under: Loxodonta africana (African savanna elephant)
Lineage: Eukaryota; Metazoa; Chordata; Mammalia; Proboscidea; Elephantidae
Rfam family: tRNA
About the family: Transfer RNA (tRNA) molecules are approximately 80 nucleotides in length. Their secondary structure includes four short double-helical elements and three loops (D, anti-codon, and T loops). Further hydrogen bonds mediate the characteristic L-shaped molecular structure. tRNAs have two regions of fundamental functional importance: the anti-codon, which is responsible for specific mRNA codon recognition, and the 3' end, to which the tRNAs corresponding amino acid is attached (by aminoacyl-tRNA synthetases). tRNAs cope with the degeneracy of the genetic code in two manners: having more than one tRNA (with a specific anti-codon) for a particular amino acid; and 'wobble' base-pairing, i.e. permitting non-standard base-pairing at the 3rd anti-codon position.
Source: Rfam by way of RNAcentral
GGUGAUGAAGUGGUAAAGCACUCAGCUGCUAACUGAAAUGUGGGUGGUUCAAGUCCACCCGGCACCC